GGUCAAGCUAAUAAGGGCGCAAGGGGAAUGCCUUGGCAUUGGAAGCCGAUGAAGGACGUAGCGAUCUACGAAAAGCCACGGGGAGGCGAAAGCAGCCCUCGAUCCGUGGAUAUCCGAAUGGGGAAACCCGGCAGAGCAAUACUCUGUCAACCUCUUGUGAAUAAAAUAGCAAGUCGUGGGGAACCGCCUGAACUGAAACAUCUAAGUAGGGCGAGGAAAAGACAUCAACCGAGAUUCCGUAAGUAGUGGCGAGCGAACGCGGAAGAGGCCAAACCAAGAGUAGUAAUACUUUUGGGGUUCGGACUGCAACAUGUACUGAUAAGGUUAGUAGAAUGAGAUGGGAAGCUCAACCAUAGAGUGUGAGAGUCACGUACACGAAAACCGAGUCAGGCUAGCAGGAUCCAGAGUACCGCCGGACACGUGAAACCCGGUGGGAAUACGGGGGGACCACCCUCCAAGCCUAAAUACUCUCCAAUGACCGAUAGUGAAUAGUACUGUGAAGGAAAGGUGAAAAGAACCCCUGGCGGGGAGUGAAAUAGAACCUGAAACCUUGUGCCUACAAGCACAUAGAGCACAUCAACGUGUGAUAUGGUACCUUUUGUAGAAUGGUCCGGCGAGUGAAUGUCACUAGCGAGGUUAAGGACUUAAGGUCUGAAGCCGAAGCGAAAGCGAGUCUUAAUAGGGCGAAAAUAGUUAGUGGUAUUCGACCCGAAACCGAGUGACCUAGCCAUGAGCAGGCUGAAGUGGAGGUAAAACUCCAUGGAGGGCCGAACCCACUCCCGUUGAAAUGGUAGGGGAUGACUUGUGGCUAGCGGAGAAAUUCCAAUCGAACUCGGAGAUAGCUGGUUCUCUCCGAAAUAGCUUUAGGGCUAGCCUCAAUAUACAUUACCGCAGGUAAAGCACUGAAUGGGCUAGGGGGCGAAAGCUUACUGAACCCUAUCAAACUAAGAAUGGCGGAUAAUGAAAUAUUGGGAGUCACACUACGUGAGAUAAGUUUCGUGGUGGAAAGGGAAACAGCCCAGACCCACAGCUAAGGUCCCAAAGUACGGUUAAGUGGAAAAGGAUGUGGAAUUGCACAGACAACCAGGAUGUUGGCUCAGAAGCAGCCAUUCAUUCAAAGAGUGCGUAAUAGCUCACUGGUCGAGUGACUCUGCGCCGAAGAUUUAACGGGGCUAAAUCGUACACCGAAGCUUGGGAAUAUA
This 1202-nucleotide non-coding RNA is filed under the name Eubacterium coprostanoligenes. Its description in RNAcentral is "Bacterial large subunit ribosomal RNA". It matches the Rfam family "Bacterial large subunit ribosomal RNA", at positions 1 to 1211 of the family's 2925-position model. Lineage: Bacteria; Bacillati; Bacillota; Clostridia; Eubacteriales; Eubacteriaceae. The record is from Rfam by way of RNAcentral.